Molecule: long non-coding RNA, 820 nt
Organism: Hippocampus comes (tiger tail seahorse)
Lineage: Eukaryota; Metazoa; Chordata; Actinopteri; Syngnathiformes; Syngnathidae
Exons: 2
Source: RefSeq, a predicted model, not a curated record
AUUACAAUGUGACCCGCGACAAAAAUUAGUUUGCCACCCACCCCAGCACUAAAUGGAAGGUACUUUACAUAAUCGACCUGUGUAGCCAAUUUUUAUAACAUUUUUGUUUGUUGGUGAGCAGGGCCGGACCUGGCUUGUUUUGCACCGUGGACGACACACACACACACACACACACACACACACACACACACACACAAAGCUCGUGCGCCCCCCUGACAGACUGCGCCCUGGGCGACCGCCCACUUUGCCCAUAGCAAGAACCGGCCCUGGUGGUGAGCCGUGAGACUUUUCCAAAUGUAAAAUAUGUGCCUUGGCUCAAUAAAGUUUGGGAAACAACCAUUAAAACUGCCCAGUGGGCGUUACUGUUUUAAAUCUGCUUUUUUUUUCUUAGGAGGAGCAGUUGAUUAACUCCGAUGAACACUACCGAGCAACAAGUGGCUUGAAAGCAGCCGGUGCUGGACCGCACCCAUCACAUUUGGCAAGUUUGGAGCAGCCGUGACCUCAUUUCACGGACUCAGUUGGCCGUGAUGCACGCCGAUGCACAAAGAGCUCUGUCAUCAGCGGGGCUGCUGUAAGGGAACGGAAAUUGAUGGCGACUCAAAGGGCCCAUGACUGACAGGAGCCCGAGAAAAUUGUUUUUUUUUUUUAAAUCCCUGGCAGCACCCCUGGUCAUCAGGCAGCACACUGGAAUUUAUUUCACUCAAGGUAACUUAUAAGAAGACUCUUUGCUAUAUAGCGGGUUUAUUACAUCAUAUAAUAAUGAUUGAAAAGAUUUGAAUAAUCCCAUUACAUAUUUAUCUCCAUCCCACAGGCGCACUUC